ACGGUGAUGGCGGAAAUGGUAGACGCGUUAGAUUCAGGUUCUAAUGGUUAACACCUUGUGGGUUCGAGUCCCAUUCACCGUACCA
RNAcentral lists this transfer RNA (85 nucleotides) under Acholeplasmataceae bacterium. RNAcentral describes it as "tRNA-Leu". It matches the Rfam family "tRNA". Rfam says of the family: Transfer RNA (tRNA) molecules are approximately 80 nucleotides in length. Lineage: Bacteria; Bacillati; Mycoplasmatota; Mollicutes; Acholeplasmatales; Acholeplasmataceae. RNAcentral also lists the same sequence under 2 other names. The record is from RNAcentral.